AUACGGAGGAUCCGAGCGUUAUCCGGAUUUAUUGGGUUUAAAGGGUGCGCAGGCGGCCAUUUAAGUCAGCGGUUAAAUCGUGGGGCUCAACCCCAUUCUGCCGUUGAUACUGGGUGGCUUGAUUGCGGUCGAGGUUGGCGGAAUUCGUUGUGUAGCGGGGAAAUGCAUAGAUAUGACGAAGAACACCGAUUGCGUAGGCAGCUGACCAGACCGCAAAUGACGCUCAUGCACGAAAGUGCGGGGAUCGAACAGGAUUAGAUACCCUGGUAGUCCGCACAGUAAACGAUGAAUACUUGUUUUCGGCGAUAUAAUGUCGGAGGCAAAGCGAAAGCGAUAAGUAUUCCACCUGGGGAGUACGCCGGCAACGGUGAAACUCAAAUGAAUUGGCGGG
RNAcentral lists this ribosomal RNA (391 nucleotides) under uncultured bacterium. RNAcentral describes it as "partial 16S ribosomal RNA". It matches the Rfam family "Bacterial small subunit ribosomal RNA", at positions 523 to 917 of the family's 1533-position model. The record is from RNAcentral.